ACAACUUUCGACAACGGAUCUCUUGGUUCUCCCAUCGAUGAAGAACGCAGCGAAACGCGAUAGGUAAUGUGAAUUGCAGAAUUCCGUGAAUCAUCGAAUCUUUGAACGCACCUUGCGCUCCAUGGUGUUCCGGGGAGCAUGCCUGUUUGAGUGCCGCG
Molecule: ribosomal RNA, 158 nt
Filed under: Malassezia pachydermatis
Lineage: Eukaryota; Fungi; Basidiomycota; Malasseziomycetes; Malasseziales; Malasseziaceae
Description: 5.8S ribosomal RNA
Rfam family: 5.8S ribosomal RNA
About the family: 5.8S ribosomal RNA (5.8S rRNA) is a component of the large subunit of the eukaryotic ribosome.
Source: RNAcentral